This 442-nucleotide ribosomal RNA is filed under the name uncultured Prevotella sp. Its description in RNAcentral is "bacterial SSU rRNA". It matches the Rfam family "Bacterial small subunit ribosomal RNA", at positions 355 to 794 of the family's 1533-position model. The record is from RNAcentral. Lineage: Bacteria; Pseudomonadati; Bacteroidota; Bacteroidia; Bacteroidales; Prevotellaceae.
UGAGGAAUAUUGGUCAAUGGACGAGAGUCUGAACCAGCCAAGUAGCGUGCAGGAUGACGGCCCUCCGGGUUGUAAACUGCUUUUAGUUGGGAAUAAAAGAGGCGACGUGUCGCCUAUUGUAUGUACCAUCAGAAAAAGGACCGGCUAAUUCCGUGCCAGCAGCCGCGGUAAUACGGAAGGUCCGGGCGUUAUCCGGAUUUAUUGGGUUUAAAGGGAGCGUAGGCCGCUGUUUAAGCGUGUUGUGAAAAACCGGGGCUCAACUCCGGUCGUGCAGCGCGAACUGGACGGCUUGAGUGCGCGGUAAGUGGGCGGAAUUUGUGGUGUAGCGGUGAAAUGCUUAGAUAUCACGAAGAACUCCGAUUGCGAAGGCAGCUCACUGUAGCGCAACUGACGCUGAAGCUCGAAAGUGCGGGUAUCGAACAGGAUUAGAUACCCUGGUAGU